RNAcentral lists this long non-coding RNA (1653 nucleotides) under Equus asinus (donkey). RNAcentral's name for it is "lncRNA (ENSEASG00005038830.1)". Lineage: Eukaryota; Metazoa; Chordata; Mammalia; Perissodactyla; Equidae. The record is from RNAcentral.
CUACUUCGCGUGUCCACAAACUCUGAACGCCCAGUGUCCGCGCAUCGCCGCCGCCGGAGUUCUCCACCCUGCGUCCCGGGGGCCCUUCCCAGCUUCUCCUCCUCCCACCUUGGGGGAACCUAGCGGAGCCAGGCGGGGACGGCUCCCCGGCGGGUGGAGCAGCCAGGUGAGCCCAGAAAGGUGGGGCGGGGCGGGAGCGCUCCGGGCCCCACCCCGGGAUCCGGUGACGCCGGGGCUGGAAUUUGACACCGGACGGCGGCGGGCAUGAGACUGCUGAGGGAUGGAGUUGGGCCCGGCCCCCAGACACGGCCCACGGGCUCCACCAGCAGCAGGUCCCUCGGGCCCCAGCCCUCCCUGCGUCCCAGACCCAGGGCCCUGCACCCGCGGUAAGCUGACCUGUUUGCCCACCCCUCGUCCCAGCCCUGGGUUUAGGGGGAGCAGUCAGAAUAGUUCCCCUCCACUCUUUUCUUACAUCCUCCCUCUCCUGGGCCCAAUGCGCAGCUCUCCGCCCCUCCCAGCCCCCUCAGUCCUUCUUGUCGCUGGUCCGACUGCGGACGCCCUGCCAGCCCGCUGUAAUGUGAGGCUCUCACUGCUGCUACAGGGCACAGACUGGCUGCCAAGGCCACACUUUUGGCUAAAAGGCGCUGCCAGGUGCAUAGUCCUGGGCAUGAGCCUUUUGAGCUGCGGGGGAAAGCCGGGCACUGGUCCCAGGAAAGGUGCCUAGAAGAACACGGCGCAGGAUUCCUGUGUGAGAGCCUGGCCCCUCAGGGCCCGUUUUCAAUUAGCUGAUCACACUUGGCCCUGAAGGACCCCACCAGGGAGGCCUGGGAGAUCCAGACCACAGGCCACAACUUCCUCCUCUGCAGCCUGGAGAGAAGACUGUAGGACGAGGGCGUCCAACUACUCUCUUCUCCAGCCAAUCCUGGCAGCUCCAGCCCUGCAGCACAGAGCAGGAAGGUCCUGGGGAAAGAGACUCCCCCCACCCGCUGUGUGGGCCUAGCCUUGGGACCUUAGCAGUCGCUGAGCUUCUCUGAGCCUAGUUUGCUCAUCUGGAAAAUGGAGAUUACACCGUUUACCUCGUGGAGUUGUGAGGACUGAAAGAGGGCACAGAUGCAAAGUGCCAAGACAUAGUUUCUCCAUGCAGCUCUCUCUCGUCCUCCUGGGUCGAGUCUAGCUCCCCAAGCCCCUUGUUCCUCACCUGGGGAAACGGAAGUGGAGGGAUGAGCUGCUCAAAGGAUAACCCAUCUUUCAAUGUUCGAAGCUGCCUCAAGAGGAGGGUGGGGAAACAGGUCAACUGCGGCUGAUGGGAGCUCUUGGUAGUGACAGAGAUGGAACCUGGAUGUGGAGGCCCUUCUGAGCCGCCCCACGGGCCUCGGCCUAGGCGGCUGCCGGCCUUGUGGCCAACCCUGGCCGCUCUGGCCCUGCUGAGCAGCGUCGCCGAGGCCUCCCUGGGCCCCGCGCCCCGCAGCCCCGCCACCCGCGAAGGCCCCGCGCCCGUCCCGGCGCCCCCCGCCGGCCACCUGCCCGGUAGGUGAGAGGGCGAGGGGCGGGGGCGGGCGGGGGCUGGCCCGGGACCCCGCCCGUGACUCCGUCUCAUUCCAGGGGGCCGCGCGGCCCGCGUAUGCGGCGGAAGAGCCCGGCGGCCGUCGCCGC